ACUCCUACGGGAGGCAGCAGUGGGGAAUAUUGGACAAUGGGCGAAAGCCUGAUCCAGCGACGCCGCGUGGGUGAAGAAGGCCUGCGGGUUGUAAAGCCCUUUCGGUGGGGAAGAAAAGCCUCGAGUUAAUACCUCGGGGUCUUGACGUAACCCAUAGAAGAAGCACCGGCUAACUCUGUGCCAGCAGCCGCGGUAAUAAUGAGGGUGCGAGCGUUAAUCGGA
Molecule: ribosomal RNA, 222 nt
Filed under: uncultured bacterium
Lineage: Bacteria
Description: partial 16S ribosomal RNA
Rfam family: Bacterial small subunit ribosomal RNA
Source: RNAcentral